Molecule: long non-coding RNA, 1222 nt
Organism: Arabidopsis lyrata subsp. lyrata
Lineage: Eukaryota; Viridiplantae; Streptophyta; Magnoliopsida; Brassicales; Brassicaceae
Exons: 2
Source: RefSeq, a predicted model, not a curated record
AACAAAAGGAAACAAGCGACCCUUUUCCUUUUUUUUUUUUCUGAAGAACUGUCCUUAUAAAUAGUCGUCUCUCCGAAAAAUCAAAAUCAUUCAUUCUUCUUCUUCAAAAGUAAAAUCAUUCAUUCUCCUUAAUAAUCUUUCUUCUUUUCUUUUUUGAUAUGUGUCGAACAAAAUUUGCCAAUGUUUGAUCGCCAAUCUCGUGAAGCCGAUGAUCCAUGUAGAGCCACUCUCUGCAACUAAUUAAUCUGCCUUGUUCCUUGAGAAGAAGAUCGAUCUCAACUAUCGUUGCCCAUCUCGGAACCUUAUCUGUAAGAUUGAUCGCCAUUCUCUUUUGUGCAUUCGAUAUCCCGUGAGUCAAACCCUAAUCCCAUAUGGAUCAUUCACCGCCUGCUAAUGAUGCGAGGAAGAAGGCGGGAAAAGAGGGACAGUGAAAGCGAAGAGCAUGUCGCAGCUUUGGAGUUUCGAUGGCCUGACUGUUGAAGUUGAGUUCCUUGAUUUAACCUGCACAAAGAAAAUUAAAAUCGAUGAGGACAAGAAGUAGAAGAAGCAAAGGCUCGUGAUUGAAGGAUGUCGAAGAAGAGGAAGAGAGAACGCAGAGAACAAGGAAGGAAGUUGGACUUCAAGUGUUUUGGUCUUAAUAAAAAUAUUGGGCUACGUUUUGGUUAAGGCCCAAGGAAAACGAUGAAUCUGAGUCACCAAAUCCAGAAAUGAGAGAUCUUUACGGCUUAGAACCAACAGUUAAAGACUAUAUGUAUGGUUGAUAUCUUGAGCCGUGCUGGUCGUUUUGAAGAGGCAGAGAGAUUGGUGAAGAUUCUCCCGGUACAACCCAAUGCUAAUAUAUAUGGGGUGCAUUGUUAAAUACUUAAAAUGGUUGUGAGAAACAUGAAAAUCUCGAUCUCGCUGAUCGGAUAAGAUCCACGGUUUCUGAAUCUGAAGAACGUAGCAGAAUCUAUGUUCGGAUAAGAUCCACGGUUUCUGAAUCUGAAGAACGUAGCAGAAUCUAUGUUCUUGAUGGGCGGAUGUUAGACUAGUUAGAGAGUCCAUGAAGAGCAAAAGGGUAGAUAAACUUUUAAGCCAUAGUUCUGUUGAAACAAUGUUCUAAUCCAGGGUCCUGCUUGACCUCAUUAUAAACUUUGUUAUGAAUUAAACUUUGUUAUGAAUUGGGAGGUUGUGAUUUUCACCUCAUUAACAGUUCCAAGAGAACAAUAAUACUUUUGAAUUA